RNAcentral lists this ribosomal RNA (1467 nucleotides) under uncultured Bordetella sp. Its description in RNAcentral is "partial 16S-23S ribosomal RNA intergenic spacer". It matches the Rfam family "Bacterial small subunit ribosomal RNA". The record is from RNAcentral. Lineage: Bacteria; Pseudomonadati; Pseudomonadota; Betaproteobacteria; Burkholderiales; Alcaligenaceae.
GGUUCGAUUAUGGCUCAGAUUGAACGCUGGCGGGAUGUUUUUACACAUGCAAGUCGAACGGCAGCACGGACUUCGGUCUGGUGGCGAGUGGCGAACGGGUGAGUAAUGUAUCGGAACGUGCCUAGUAGCGGGGAUAACUACGCGAAAGCGUAGCUAAUACCGCAUACGCCCUUCGGGGGAAAGCGUGGGGACCUUUCGGGCCUCGCACUAUUAGAGCGGCCGAUAUCGGAUUAGCUAGUUGGUGGGGUAACGGCUCACCAAGGCGACGAUCCGGUAGCUGGUUUGAGGACGACCAGCCACACUGGGACUGAGACACGGCCCAGACUCCUACGGGAGGCAGCAGUGGGGAAUUUUGGACAAUGGGGGAAACCCUGAUCCAGCCAUCCCGCGUGUGCGAUGAAGGCCUUCGGGUUGUAAAGCACUUUUGGCAGGAAAGAAACGGCACGGAUAAUACCCCGUGCAACUGACGGUACCUGCAGAAUAAGCACCGGCUAACUACGUGCCAGCAGCUGCGGUAAUACGUAGGGUGCAAGCGUUAAUCGGAAUUACUGGGCGUAAAGCGCGCAGGCGGUUCGGAAAGAAAGAUGAAAUCCCAGAGCUUAACUUUGGAACUGCAUUUUUAACUACCGAGCUAGAGUGUGUCAGAGGGAGGUGGAAUUCGCGUGUAGCAGUGAAAUGCGUAGAUAUGCGGAGGAACACCGAUGGCGAAGGCAGCCUCCUGGGAUAACACUGACGCUCAUGCACGAAAGCGUGGGGAGCAAACAGGAUUAGAUACCCUGGUAGUCCACGCCCUAAACGAUGUCAACUAGCUGUUGGGGCCUGGCCUUGGUAGCGCAGCUAACGCGUGAAGUUGACCGCCUGGGGAGUACGGUCGCAAGAUUAAAAACUCAAAGGAAUUGACGGGGACCCGCACAAGCGGUGGAUGAUGUGGAUUAAUUGAUGCAACGCGAAAAACCUUACCUACCCUUGACAUGUCUGGAAUCCCGAAGAGAUUUGGGAGUGCUCGCAAGAGAACCGAACACAGGUGCUGCAUGGCUGUCGUCAGCUCGUGUUUUGAUGUUGGUUGAAGUCCCAAACGAAGCAACCUGUCACAUGCUACGAAAAAGGGCAUCCUAUACGAGACUGCCGAACCAACAGAUAUGGAUGACGUGUCGUUCUCAUGGCCCUUAUGGGUAGGGCUUCACACGUCAUACAAUGGUCGGGACAGAGGGUCGCCAACCCGCGAGGGGGAGCCAAUCCCAGAAACCCGAUCGUAGCUUGUCCGGAUCGCAGUCUGCAACUCGACUGCGUGAAGUCGGAAUCGCUAGUAAUCGCGGAUCAGCAUGUCGCGGUGAAUACGUUCCCGGCCUUGUACACACCGCCCGUCACACCAUGGAGUGGGUUUUACCAGAAGUAGUUAGCCUAACCGUGGGCGAGGGCGAUUACCACGGUAGGAUUCAUGACUGGGGUGAAGUCGUAACAAGGUAG